CCCGCUGAACUUAAGCAUAUCAAUAAGCGGAGGAAAAGAAACUAACAAGGAUUCCCCUAGUAACUGCGAGUGAAGCGGGAAAAGCUCAAAUUUAAAAUCUGGCGGUCCCUGUGGUCGUCCGAGUUGUAAUUUAGAGAAGUGUUAUCCGCGCUGGACCGUGUACAAGUCUCCUGGAAUGGAGCGUCAUAGAGGGUGAGAAUCCCGUCUUUGACACGGACUGCCAGGGCAUUGUGAUGCGCUCUCGAAGAGUCGAGUUGUUUGGGAAUGCAGCUCAAAAUGGGUGGUAAAUUCCAUCUAAAGCUAAAUAUUGGGGAGAGACCGAUAGCGAACAAGUACCGUGAGGGAAAGAUGAAAAGAACUUUGGAAAGAGAGUUAAACAGUACGUGAAAUUGCUGAAAGGGAAACGCUUGAAGUCAGUCGCGUCGUUCAGGACUCAGCCUUACCUCGGUUUGGUGCAUUUCCUUGUGGACGGGCCAGUGUCCAUGUUGAUUGCUGGAAAAGGUUCAGGGGAAUGUGGCUCUUUUAGAGUGUUAUAGCCUCUGUUCAUAUACAGUAGUUGAUAUGGAGUGAUACAGCAUGCUUCGGCGGUGCUUGUACUGGCAUAAUGGCUUUAAACGACCCGUCUUGAAACACGG
Molecule: ribosomal RNA, 635 nt
Filed under: uncultured fungus
Lineage: Eukaryota; Fungi
Description: eukaryotic LSU rRNA
Rfam family: Eukaryotic large subunit ribosomal RNA
Source: RNAcentral